UACAGAGGUCUCGAGCGUUGUUCGGAUUCAUUGGGCGUAAAGGGUGCGUAGGUGGCGCUGUAAGUCGGAUGUGAAAUCCCGAGGCUUAACCUCGGGACUGCAUUCGAUACUGCAGUGCUUGAGGACUGGAGAGGAGACUGGAAUUCAUGGUGUAGCAGUGAAAUGCGUAGAGAUCAUGAGGAAGACCAGUGGCGAAGGCGGGUCUCUGGACAGUUCCUGACACUGAGGCACGAAGGCCAGGGGAGCAAACGGG
RNAcentral lists this ribosomal RNA (253 nucleotides) under uncultured bacterium. Its description in RNAcentral is "partial 16S ribosomal RNA". It matches the Rfam family "Bacterial small subunit ribosomal RNA", at positions 524 to 776 of the family's 1533-position model. The record is from RNAcentral.